Oncorhynchus tshawytscha (Chinook salmon) is the source of this 1418-nucleotide long non-coding RNA. The record is from Ensembl. Lineage: Eukaryota; Metazoa; Chordata; Actinopteri; Salmoniformes; Salmonidae.
ACACACACACUUUACACACGCACUCUACACACACACUCUACACACACACUAUACACACACACUCUACACACACACUAUACACACACACUGUACACACACACUAUACACACACACUGUACACACACACUCUACACACACACACUCUACACUCUACACACACUCUACACACACUCUACACACACACUCUACACACACAUACAUUGUAAUAUUCUAUUAUUGUACAUUUUGUGAUGGAAUUGUUUCAUACCUGUUUGCACCCCAGGAAGAGUAGCUGCUGCCUUGGUAGGAACUAAUGGGGAUCCUAUUAAAUACUAAAUACGCUCCUCUCCUUCUCCCAAACCCACCAUCCCUUGGAUCAAGCACUCUUCCCUGAGCUCCACAUCUAAUAAUGGCACCAUCAUUCCUCACUCUAAUUCUUUUGGCAGGGCCUGUCAAACAGCAUAUGCUGGAGGACACUGUGACUUUGAAAUGCUGCUAAUGACCCAAGGAUAUUUUCCCCUCGCUCGCUGGUGAUUAGAGAGAGAGAGGACCGAGGGAGGGAGGAGAGAAAAAGAGAGAAGGGUGCGAGAGAAAAGGAAUAAGAGACAGAGAUAUAAAGAGUGAGAGGGAGAGAGAAAAAGAGAGGGAGAUAUAAAGAGAGGGAGAGAGAUAAAGAGAGGAAGAGAUAUAUAAGGAGAGGGAGAGAGAUACAAAGAGAGAGAGAGAGAGAUAAAGAGAGGGAGAGAGAUAUAAGGAGAGAGAGAGAGAGAGAUAAAGAGAGGGAGAGAGAGAUAAAGAGAGGGAGAGAGAUAUAAGGAGAGGGAGAUAUAAAGAGAGGGAGAGAGAUAUAAAGAGGGAGAUGUAAAGAGAGGGAGAGAGAUAUAAAGCGAGGGAGAUAGAUAUAAAGAGUGGGAGAGAGAGAUAAAGAGAGGGAGAGAGAUAUAAGGAGAGGGACAGAUAUAUAAAGAGAGGGAGAUAUAAAGAGAGGGAGAGAAAGAUAAAGAGAGGGAGAGAGAUAUAAAGAGAGGGAGAGAGAGAUAAAGAGAUAUAAAGAGAGGGAGAGAGAGAUAAAGAGAGGGAGAUAUAAAGAGAGGGAGAGAGAGAUAAAGAGAGGGAGAUAUAAAGAGAGGGAGAUAAAGAGAAGGAGAGAGAUAUAAAGAGAGGGAGAGAGAUGAAGAGAGGGAGAUAUAAAGAGAGGGAUAGAGAUAUAAAUAGAGGGAGAGAGAUAUAAAGAGAGAGAGAGAUAUAAAGGGAGGGACAGAGAUGAAGAGAGGGAGAUAUAAAGAGAGGGAUAGAGAUAUAAAGAGAGAGAGAGAUAUAAAGGGAGGGAGAGAGAUGAAGAGAGGGAGAUAUAAAGAGAGGGAUAGAGAUAUAAAGAGAGGGAGGGAGAUAUAAAGGGAGGGAGAGAGAUGAAGAGAGGGAGAUAUAAAGAGAGGGAG